GGGUCCAUAGUGUAGUGGUUAGCAUGUCUGUUUUACAUGCAGAAGGUCCUGGGUUCACUCUCCAGGUGGAACCA
This 74-nucleotide transfer RNA is filed under the name Pteropus alecto (black flying fox). It matches the Rfam family "tRNA". From Rfam's summary of the family: Transfer RNA (tRNA) molecules are approximately 80 nucleotides in length. The record is from Rfam by way of RNAcentral. RNAcentral also lists the same sequence under 1 other name. Lineage: Eukaryota; Metazoa; Chordata; Mammalia; Chiroptera; Pteropodidae.